Molecule: ribosomal RNA, 135 nt
Filed under: Manacus vitellinus (golden-collared manakin)
Lineage: Eukaryota; Metazoa; Chordata; Aves; Passeriformes; Pipridae
Source: RNAcentral
UCCUACAGCCCAGCAGUUUUGUAAGAUUGAAAGGCUUCAGAGAAUCAAGAACUAUUUCUUCAACAGGGCCUUAAGGAAGACUUGGAAGUUGUACUCGGAUGGGAGACUGCCUGGGAAUACUGAGUGCUGGAGGCU